Small nuclear RNA from Suncus etruscus (white-toothed pygmy shrew), 159 nucleotides. RefSeq annotates it as U1 spliceosomal RNA. The transcript has a single exon. The record is from RefSeq and is a predicted model, not a curated record. NCBI's taxonomy places the organism in Eukaryota, Metazoa, Chordata, Mammalia, Eulipotyphla, Soricidae.
AUACUUACCUGGCAGGAGCGAUUCCAUGAUCCAGAAGGUAUAUUCCCCAAGGUGAGGCUCACCCAUUGCACUGUGGACGUGCUGACUCCUGCGAUUUCCCCAAAUGUAGGAAACUUGACUGGAAAAUUUGUGGUAGUGCAUGCUCUCCCCUGGCAGGCC